RNAcentral lists this ribosomal RNA (325 nucleotides) under Ehrlichia chaffeensis. RNAcentral's name for it is "bacterial SSU rRNA". It matches the Rfam family "Bacterial small subunit ribosomal RNA", at positions 124 to 483 of the family's 1533-position model. Lineage: Bacteria; Pseudomonadati; Pseudomonadota; Alphaproteobacteria; Rickettsiales; Anaplasmataceae. The record is from RNAcentral.
AUCUACCUAGUAGUAUGGAAUAGCCAUUAGAAAUGAUGGGUAAUACUGUAUAAUCCCUGCGGGGGAAAGAUUUAUCGCUAUUAGAUGAGCCUACGUUAGAUUAGCUAGUUGGUAAGGUAAUGGCUUACCAAGGCUAUGAUCUAUAGCUGGUCUGAGAGGACGAUCAGCCACACUGGAACUGAGAUACGGUCCAGACUCCUACGGGAGGCAGCAGUGGGGAAUAUUGGACAAUGGGCGAAAGCCUGAUCCAGCUAUGCCGCGUGAGUGAAGAAGGCCUUCGGGUUGUAAAACUCUUUCAAUAGGGAAAAUAAUGACGGUACCUAUA